This is a non-coding RNA of Phrynosoma platyrhinos (Desert horned lizard), 72 nucleotides long. Lineage: Eukaryota; Metazoa; Chordata; Lepidosauria; Squamata; Phrynosomatidae. The record is from the annotation of a GenBank genome assembly.
GCCAGCGUGGCACAGUGAUUUGAGCACUGGACUCCGACUCUGGAGGCCAGGGUUCAAUUUCCAACUUGGUCA